RNAcentral lists this ribosomal RNA (1389 nucleotides) under Salmonella enterica. Its description in RNAcentral is "partial 23S ribosomal RNA". It matches the Rfam family "Bacterial large subunit ribosomal RNA", at positions 161 to 1590 of the family's 2925-position model. The record is from RNAcentral. Lineage: Bacteria; Pseudomonadati; Pseudomonadota; Gammaproteobacteria; Enterobacterales; Enterobacteriaceae.
AAUCCAUAGGUUAAUGAGGCGAACCGGGGGAACUGAAACAUCUAAGUACCCCGAGGAAAAGAAAUCAACCGAGAUUCCCCCAGUAGCGGCGAGCGAACGGGGAGGAGCCCAGAGCCUGAAUCAGCAUGUGUGUUAGUGGAAGCGUCUGGAAAGGCGCGCGAUACAGGGUGACAGCCCCGUACACAAAAGCGCAUGUGCUGUGAGCUCGAUGAGUAGGGCGGGACACGUGGUAUCCUGUCUGAAUAUGGGGGGACCAUCCUCCAAGGCUAAAUACUCCUGACUGACCGAUAGUGAACCAGUACCGUGAGGGAAAGGCGAAAAGAACCCCGGCGAGGGGAGUGAAAAAGAACCUGAAACCGUGUACGUACAAGCAGUGGGAGCACAGGUUUACCUGUGUGACUGCGUACCUUUUGUAUAAUGGGUCAGCGACUUAUAUUCUGUAGCAAGGUUAACCGAAUAGGGGAGCCGGAGGGAAACCGAGUCUUAAUUGGGCGUUAAGUUGCAGGGUAUAGACCCGAAACCCGGUGAUCUAGCCAUGGGCAGGUUGAAGGUUGGGUAACACUAACUGGAGGACCGAACCGACUAAUGUUGAAAAAUUAGCGGAUGACCUGUGGCUGGGGGUGAAAGGCCAAUCAAACCGGGAGAUAGCUGGUUCUCCCCGAAAGCUAUUUAGGUAGCGCCUCGUGAAUUCAUCUCCGGGGGUAGAGCACUGUUUCGGCUAGGGGGCCAUCCCGGCUUACCAACCCGAUGCAAACUGCGAAUACCGGAGAAUGUUAUCACGGGAGACACACGGCGGGUGCUAACGUCCGUCGUGAAGAGGGAAACAACCCAGACCGCCAGCUAAGGUCCCAAAGUCAUGGUUAAGUGGGAAACGAUGUGGGAAGGCCCAGACAGCCAGGAUGUUGGCUUAGAAGCAGCCAUCAUUUAAAGAAAGCGUAAUAGCUCACUGGUCGAGUCGGCCUGCGCGGAAGAUGUAACGGGGCUAAACCAUGCACCGAAGCUGCGGCAGCGACGCUUAUGCGUUGUUGGGUAGGGGAGCGUUCUGUAAGCCUGCGAAGGUGGCCUGUGAGGGUUGCUGGAGGUAUCAGAAGUGCGAAUGCUGACAUAAGUAACGAUAAAGCGGGUGAAAAGCCCGCUCGCCGGAAGACCAAGGGUUCCUGUCCAACGUUAAUCGGGGCAGGGUGAGUCGACCCCUAAGGCGAGGCCGAAAGGCGUAGUCGAUGGGAAACGGGUUAAUAUUCCCGUACUUGGUGUUACUGCGAAGGGGGGACGGAGAAGGCUAUGUUGGCCGGGCGACGGUUGUCCCGGUUUAAGCGUGUAGGCUGGUUUUCCAGGCAAAUCCGGAAAAUCAAGGCUGAGGCGUGAUGACGAGGCACUACGGUGCUGAAG